AUCGAUUCCCUCAUCGUCCUCGGACUCAGAACCCGACGAAGACGAACACGACAUCGUUGUAUAUUUUCUCUCUGCGUGUAUGAACGAAUCAAAGCACGGUGCGAUCGGAUGAUAAUAUGGUGUCCGAUUGAAUUGAUUUGAUCUGAAUAUUGUAUCAACCGUUCUCUGUCAGAAAUUAGAAGGAAAGAAAGAGGAAAUUGUAUUGGAUUAAAAUGGAAUUAGGGUACGUUAGUUUAGGGAAAUGAAGCUGGAAAAAAGGAGAAAGAGAAGGAGAAGACUG
This 280-nucleotide unclassified non-coding RNA is filed under the name Hevea brasiliensis (rubber tree). The record is from RNAcentral. Lineage: Eukaryota; Viridiplantae; Streptophyta; Magnoliopsida; Malpighiales; Euphorbiaceae.